AUUGAACGCUGGCGGCAUGCCUUACACAUGCAAGUCGAACGGCAGCACGGGGGCAACCCUGGUGGCGAGUGGCGAACGGGUGAGUAACAUAUCGGAACGUGCCCUGGAGUGGGGGAUAACUAGUCGAAAGACUAGCUAAUACCGCAUACGAUCUACGGAUGAAAGUGGGGGAUCGCAAGACCUCAUGCUCGUGGAGCGGCCGAUAUCUGAUUAGCUAGUUGGUGGGGUAAAGGCCUACCAAGGCAUCGAUCAGUAGCUGGUCUGAGAGGACGACCAGCCACACUGGGACUGAGACACGGCCCAGACUCCUACGGGAGGCAGCAGUGGGGAAUUUUGGACAAUGGGCGCAAGCCUGAUCCAGCAAUGCCGCGUGAGUGAAGAAGGCCUUCGGGUUGUAAAGCUCUUUUGUCAGGGAAGAAACGGUCCGGGCUAAUACCUUGGGCUAAUGACGGUACCUGAAGAAUAAGCACCGGCUAACUACGUGCCAGCAGCCGCGGUAAUACGUAGGGUGCAAGCGUUAAUCGGAAUUACUGGGCGUAAAGCGUGCGCAGGCGGUUGUGCAAGACCGAUGUGAAAUCCCCGGGCUUAACCUGGGAAUGGCAUUGGUGACUGUACGGCUAGAGUGUGUCAGAGGGGGGUAGAAUUCCACGUGUAGCAGUGAAAUGCGUAGAGAUGUGGAGGAAUACCGAUGGCGAAGGCAGCCCCCUGGGAUGACACUGACGCUCAUGCACGAAAGCGCGGGGAGCAAACAGGAUUAGAUACCCUGGUAGUCCACGCCCUAAACGAUGUCUACUAGUUGUCGGGUCUUCAUUGACUUGGUAACGCAGCUAACGCGUGAAGUAGACCGCCUGGGGAGUACGGUCGCAAGAUUAAAACUCAAAGGAAUUGACGGGGACCCGCACAAGCGGUGGAUGAUGUGGAUUAAUUCGAUGCAACGCGAAAAACCUUACUUACCCUUGACAUGGAUGGAAGCUUUGAGAGAUCAGAGCGUGCUCGAAAGAGAGCCAUCACACAGGUGCUGCAUGGCUGUCGUCAGCUCGUGUCGUGAGAUGUUGGGUUAAGUCCCGCAACGAGCGCAACCCUUGUCAUUAGUUGCUACAUUCAGUUGAGCACUCUAAUGAGACUGCCGGUGACAAACCGGAGGAAGGUGGGGAUGACGUCAAGUCCUCAUGGCCCUUAUGGGUAGGGCUUCACACGUCAUACAAUGGUACAUACAGAGGGCCGCCAACCCGCGAGGGGGAGCUAAUCCCAGAAAGUGUAUCGUAGUCCGGAUUGCAGUCUGCAACUCGACUGCAUGAAGUUGGAAUCGCUAGUAAUCGCGGAUCAGCAUGUCGCGGUGAAUACGUUCCCGGGUCUCUCACCGCCCGUCAAGGGCGAAUU
This 1380-nucleotide ribosomal RNA is filed under the name uncultured bacterium. RNAcentral's name for it is "bacterial SSU rRNA". It matches the Rfam family "Bacterial small subunit ribosomal RNA". The record is from RNAcentral.